This 279-nucleotide signal recognition particle RNA is filed under the name Desulfurococcaceae archaeon. RNAcentral's name for it is "signal recognition particle sRNA". It matches the Rfam family "Archaeal signal recognition particle RNA". Lineage: Archaea; Thermoproteati; Thermoproteota; Thermoprotei; Desulfurococcales; Desulfurococcaceae. The record is from RNAcentral.
CGGGCAGGGGAAGGCCCCGGACCACCGGGGCAGAAACCACGUACAGCCCGUAAACACCCAUCACCCCUCACGCAGAGGCAAUGAACCCCGCCCCAUGGGGCUGGCGGAGGCGGAGCCCCCUCUGGAGAGAGGGGGUGAACCGCCUUAGCUGGGGGAACCAGGCCAGGCCCGGAAGGGAGCAACCUAACCCUGGACGCCAGCGUUCAUGGGUCACCGGGGGGGAGUCGGCGUGAGAUGGCUCUGGUGGGUGUUUGCGGGCUGUACGUGGAGCUCUGCCCG